Aspergillus pseudoviridinutans is the source of this 107-nucleotide non-coding RNA. NCBI's taxonomy places the organism in Eukaryota, Fungi, Ascomycota, Eurotiomycetes, Eurotiales, Aspergillaceae. The record is from the annotation of a RefSeq genome assembly.
GCCCUGAUGGUCCAGAGGUACGAUUCAUCCUUCGGGGAAUGUUAGCUCUCCGGCUCUCAAAAGAGCCCUGUAUGGAUGAGACCCGCGUUCGAGUCGCGGUCAGGGCC